AGUGAGGUCAGCUAAUCAAGCUGUAGGGCCCAUACCCCUAAAAUGUAGGUUAGACCCCUACCUUCACUA
Molecule: transfer RNA, 69 nt
Filed under: Solea ovata (ovate sole)
Lineage: Eukaryota; Metazoa; Chordata; Actinopteri; Pleuronectiformes; Soleidae
Description: tRNA-Met
Rfam family: tRNA
About the family: Transfer RNA (tRNA) molecules are approximately 80 nucleotides in length. Their secondary structure includes four short double-helical elements and three loops (D, anti-codon, and T loops).
Source: RNAcentral